AGCCACAGCCAUAUCACCCUGCAGCCCAAGACCGGCUACUCACUGAAGCUAAGCAGACCUGAGCCUGGUCAGUACCUGGAUGGGAGGCCAUUAGGGAACACUAGGUUGCUGUCGGAA
Ribosomal RNA from Danio rerio (zebrafish), 117 nucleotides. The record is from Ensembl. Lineage: Eukaryota; Metazoa; Chordata; Actinopteri; Cypriniformes; Danionidae.